This 423-nucleotide ribosomal RNA is filed under the name uncultured bacterium. Its description in RNAcentral is "bacterial SSU rRNA". It matches the Rfam family "Bacterial small subunit ribosomal RNA", at positions 917 to 1338 of the family's 1533-position model. The record is from RNAcentral.
GGACCCGCACAAGUAGUGGAGCAUGUGGUUUAAUUCGAAGAUACGCGCAGAACCUUACCAACACUUGACAUGUUCGUCGCGACUCUAAGAGAUUAAAGUUUUCGGUUCGGCCGGACGAAACACAGGUGCUGCAUGGCUGUCGUCAGCUCGUGUCGUGAGAUGUUGGGUUAAGUCCCGCAACGAGCGCAACCCUCACUUUUAGUUGCCAUCAUUUAGUUGGGCACUCUGAAAGAACUGCCAGUGAUAAGCUGGAGGAAGGUGGGGAUGACGUCAAGUCCUCAUGGCCCUUACGUGUUGGGCUACACACGUGCUACAAUGGUAUCUACAACAGGAAGCAAAGCCGCGAGGUUAAGCAAAUCCUUAAAAGAUACCUCAGUUCGGAUUGCACUCUGCAACUCGAGUGCAUGAAGCUGGAAUUACUAG